GGUGAAAUUUAGCAGAGAGAAAGAGGAAGACUUUUUUUUUUUUUUUUUUUUUUCUUCUUGUGCCUUUGAUGACAGGCUGAAAAUGGUUGAGGAAGCACUGAGGAUUUGAUUGGAGGCAACAUCGCAACUGGUCAAACGUUUUCUUCUCAACUGUGAGACCGUGAGAUUGUUCCAGAAGAUUGCUGCAGGGACUUUACCUUAAAACAUAAAGAGCUUAACCAGAAAUGUCAUAGUGUAGCAAAGGGUGCUUACACCAUCACCAAGAAAGACCAAGGAAAAGACUUCCUAGUGAAGGUCGCGGGGGGCGCUGGAGCCUAUCCCAGCUGUCAUAGGGCGAGAGGCAGGGUACACCCUGGACAGGUGGCCAGUCUGUCACAGGGCCAGAGAACCAUUCGCACCUAGUGGCAAUUUGGAUUAUCCAAUUAACCUAUCCCCACAAGUUGCAUGUCUUUGGACGGUGGGAGGAAGCCGGAGUACCCGGAGUGAACCCACGCAAACACGGGGAGAACAUGCAAACUCCACACAGAAAGACCCCAGCCUGAUGGUGGAAUUGAACUCAGGACCUUCUUGCUGUGCGGCAACAGUGCUAACCACCGUGCCACCGUGCUGCAUGUGAACAGGAAAAUGACAGUGACUAUCACCCAGACGAGGACUCUACAUGGCUGCCCUUCCCUGCAGCCUACUGUAACCCAUCUCUACCGAACAGGGAAGGAACAUUGAAGAGUUUAAGAACAACAAUCAAUAAAAACAUAAAUAUAAACAUAACAUAAAUAAAUAAACA
This is a long non-coding RNA of Astatotilapia calliptera (eastern happy), 781 nucleotides long. NCBI's taxonomy places the organism in Eukaryota, Metazoa, Chordata, Actinopteri, Cichliformes, Cichlidae. The record is from Ensembl.